GGGUUGUGAGGUUAAGCGACUAAGCGUACACGGUGGAUGCCUAGGCAGUCAGAGGCGAUGAAGGGCGUGCUAAUCUGCGAUAAGCGUCGGUAAGCUGAUAUGAAGCGUUAUACCCGACGAUACCCGAAUGGGGAAACCCAGUGUGUUUCGACACACUAUCAUUAACUGAAUACAUAGGUUAAUGAGGCGAACCGGGGGAACUGAAACAUCUCAGUACCCCGAGGAAAAGAAAUCAACCGAGAUUCCCCCAGUAGCGGCGAGCGAACGGGGAGGAGCCCAGAACCUGAAUCAGUUUGUGUGUUAGUGGAAGCGUCUGGAAAGUCGCACAGUAAAGGGUGAUAGUCCCGUACACAAAAAUGCACAAGUUGUGAGUUCGAUGAGUAGGGCGGGACACGUGACAUCCUGUCUGAAUAUGGGGGGACCAUCCUCCAAGGCUAAAUACUCCUGACUGACCGAUAGUGAACCAGUACCGUGAGGGAAAGGCGAAAAGAACCCCGGCGAGGGGAGUGAAAUAGAACCUGAAACCGUGUACGUACAAGCAGUGGGAGCCUACUCGUUAGGUGACUGCGUACCUUUUGUAUAAUGGGUCAGCGACUUAUAUUCUGUAGCAAGGUUAACCGUAUAGGGGAGCCGCAGGGAAACCGAGUCUUAACUGGGCGUUAAGUUGCAGGGUAUAGACCCGAAACCCGGUGAUCUAGCCAUGGGCAGGUUGAAGGUUGGGUAACACUAACUGGAGGACCGAACCGACUAAUGUUGAAAAAUUAGCGGAUGACUUGUGGCUGGGGGUGAAAGGCCAAUCAAACCGGGAGAUAGCUGGUUCUCCCCGAAAGCUAUUUAGGUAGCGCCUCGUGAAUUCAUCUUCGGGGGUAGAGCACUGUUUCGGCUAGGGGGUCAUCCCGACUUACCAACCCGAUGCAAACUACGAAUACCGAAGAAUGUUAUCACGGGAGACACACGGCGGGUGCUAACGUUCGUCGUGAAGAGGGAAACAACCCAGACCGCCAGCUAAGGUCCCAAAGUCAUGGUUAAGUGGGAAACGAUGUGGGAAGGCACAGACAGCCAGGAUGUUGGCUUAGAAGCAGCCAUCAUUUAAAGAAAGCGUAAUAGCUCACUGGUCGAGUCGGCCUGCGCGGAAGAUGUAACGGGGCUAAACCAUGCACCGAAGCUGCGGCAGCGACACUUAGGUGUUGUUGGGUAGGGGAGCGUUCUGUAAGCCGUCGAAGGUGGCCUGUGAGGGCUGCUGGAGGUAUCAGAAGUGCGAAUGCUGACAUAAGUAACGAUAAUGCGGGUGAAAAACCCGCACGCCGGAAGACCAAGGGUUCCUGUCCAACGUUAAUCGGGGCAGGGUGAGUCGACCCCUAAGGCGAGGCUGAAAAGCGUAGUCGAUGGGAAACAGGUUAAUAUUCCUGUACUCGGUGUUACUGCGAAGGGGGGACGGAGAAAGCUAGGUUAUCCGGGCGACGGUUGUCCCGGUUUAAGCGUGAAGGUGGAUGACUUUGGUAAAUCCGGGUCAUCAUUAACACUGAGGCGUGAUGACGAGUCACUACGGUGAUGAAGUAACCGAUGCUACGCUUCCAGGAAAAGCCUCUAAGCUCCAGGUAACAUCAAAUCGUACCCCAAACCGACACAGGUGGUCAGGUAGAGAAUACUCAGGCGCUUGAGAGAACUCGGGUGAAGGAACUAGGCAAAAUGGUGCCGUAACUUCGGGAGAAGGCACGCUGAUGGUAGGUGAAGUGACUUGCUCAUGGAGCUGAAAUCAGUCGAAGAUACCAGCUGGCUGCAACUGUUUAAUAAAAACACAGCACUGUGCAAACACGAAAGUGGACGUAUACGGUGUGACGCCUGCCCGGUGCCGGAAGGUUAAUUGAUGGGGUCAGCCGCAAGGCGAAGCUCUUGAUCGAAGCCCCGGUAAACGGCGGCCGUAACUAUAACGGUCCUAAGGUAGCGAAAUUCCUUGUCGGGUAAGUUCCGACCUGCACGAAUGGCGUAAUGAUGGCCAGGCUGUCUCCACCCGAGACUCAGUGAAAUUGAACUCGCUGUGAAGAUGCAGUGUACCCGCGGCAAGACGGAAAGACCCCGUGAACCUUUACUAUAGCUUGACACUGAACCUUGAGCCUUGAUGUGUAGGAUAGGUGGGAGGCUUUGAAGCGUGGACGCCAGUCUGCGUGGAGCCAACCUUGAAAUACCACCCUUUAAUGUUUGAUGUUCUAACGUGGACCCGUAAUCCGGGUUGCGGACAGUGUCUGGUGGGUAGUUUGACUGGGGCGGUCUCCUCCCAAAGCGUAACGGAGGAGCACGAAGGUUAGCUAAUCCUGGUCGGACAUCAGGAGGUUAGUGCAAAGGCAUAAGCUAGCUUGACUGCGAGAGUGACAGCUCGAGCAGGUGCGAAAGCAGGUCUUAGUGAUCCGGUGGUUCUGAAUGGAAGGGCCAUCGCUCAACGGAUAAAAGGUACUCCGGGGAUAACAGGCUGAUACCGCCCAAGAGUUCAUAUCGACGGCGGUGUUUGGCACCUCGAUGUCGGCUCAUCACAUCCUGGGGCUGAAGUAGGUCCCAAGGGUAUGGCUGUUCGCCAUUUAAAGUGGUACGCGAGCUGGGUUUAGAACGUCGUGAGACAGUUCGGUCCCUAUCUGCCGUGGGCGUUGGAAGAUUGAGAGGGGUUGCUCCUAGUACGAGAGGACCGGAGUGAACGCACCACUGGUGUACGGGUUGUGAUGCCAAUUGCAUUGCCCGGUAGCUAAGUGCGGAAGAGAUAACCGCUGAAAGCAUCUAAGCGGGAAACUUGCCUCGAGAUGAGUCUUCCCUGGGUACUUGAUACCCCUGAAGGGCCGUUGAAGACGACGACGUAGAUAGGCUGGGUGUGUAAGCGUAGCGAUACGUUGAGCUAACCAGUACUAAUGACCCGAGAGGCUUAACCUUACAACACCGAAGGUGUUU
This 2934-nucleotide ribosomal RNA is filed under the name Pectobacterium carotovorum. RNAcentral's name for it is "23S ribosomal RNA". It matches the Rfam family "Bacterial large subunit ribosomal RNA". The record is from RNAcentral. Lineage: Bacteria; Pseudomonadati; Pseudomonadota; Gammaproteobacteria; Enterobacterales; Pectobacteriaceae.